GACGAACGCUGGCGGCGUGCUUAACACAUGCAAGUCGAACGGAAAGGCCCUGCUUUUGUGGGGUGCUCGAGUGGCGAACGGGUGAGUAACACGUGAGUAACCUGCCCUUGACUUUGGGAUAACUUCAGGAAACUGGGGCUAAUACCGGAUAGGAGCUCCUGCUGCAUGGUGGGGGUUGGAAAGUUUCGGCGGUUGGGGAUGGACUCGCGGCUUAUCAGCUUGUUGGUGGGGUAGUGGUUUACCAAGGCUUUGACGGGUAGCCGGCCUGAGAGGGUGACCGGCCACAUUGGGACUGAGAUACGGCCCAGACUCCUACGGGAGGCAGCAGUGGGGAAUAUUGCACAAUGGGCGGAAGCCUGAUGCAGCAACGCCGCGUGCGGGAUGACGGUCUUCGGGUUGUAAACCGCUUUCGCCUGUGACGAAGCGUGAGUGACGGUAAUGGGUAAAGAAGCACCGGCUAACUACGUG
Molecule: ribosomal RNA, 468 nt
Filed under: uncultured bacterium
Lineage: Bacteria
Description: partial 16S ribosomal RNA
Rfam family: Bacterial small subunit ribosomal RNA
Source: RNAcentral